AUUGAACGCUGGCGGCAGGCCUAACACAUGCAAGUCGAACGAGUGGCGGACGGGUGAGUAAUGUCUGGGAAACUGCCUGAUGGAGGGGGAUAACUACUGGAAACGGUAGCUAAUACCGCAUACCAUCGGAUGUGCCCAGAUGGGAUUAGCUUGUUGGUGGGGUAAUGGCUCACCAAGGCGACGAUCCCUAGCUGGUCUGAGAGGAUGACCAGCCACACUGGAACUGAGACACGGUCCAGACUCCUACGGGAGGCAGCAGUGGGGAAUAUUGCACAAUGGGCGAAAGCCUGAUGCAGCCAGGCCGCGUGUGUGAAGAAGGCCUUCGGGUUGUAAAGUACUUUCAGCGGGGAGGCGUUACUCGCAGAAGAAGCACCGGCUAACUCCGUGCCAGCAGCCGCGGUAAUUC
This 406-nucleotide ribosomal RNA is filed under the name uncultured bacterium. RNAcentral's name for it is "partial 16S ribosomal RNA". It matches the Rfam family "Bacterial small subunit ribosomal RNA", at positions 30 to 526 of the family's 1533-position model. The record is from RNAcentral.